GUGCUCAGUUUGGCAGCACAUAUACUAAAAUUGGAAUGAUACAGAGAAGAUUAGCAUGGCCCCUGUGCAAGGAUGACAUGCAAAUUUGUGAAGCAUUCCAUAUUUUU
RNAcentral lists this small nuclear RNA (107 nucleotides) under Cebus imitator (Panamanian white-faced capuchin). Lineage: Eukaryota; Metazoa; Chordata; Mammalia; Primates; Cebidae. The record is from RNAcentral.